CAUAAUUAUAGUGACUGUACAAAUUUAAGCAAGAUAUACAAAAUAAAAUUUAUUUAAAAUUAGUAUUUGAAAUUAAAACAAUACGCGGCACGUUGUAGUACUUUGCAAUAGUCAAUUUCAAUAGUCAGUUUAACAAUAAUCCAUUGCACAUAGGAUUCAGUGGAGUAAAAAGUAUCUCUCAUCAUCUCUCCCGGCACUCGAGAUCAUCGCCAGUGUGAAACUCUGAAGCAGACCGCAGUCUCCAGCUAAUCGGUCAGUUAAGCCAUUUGGAAUUUCGACUAGCCCAUACCGAGGCACGCCCACGCCCACGCAACGGUCAAGACAAUCGAUCCGAGCAUAAUCGCCUUUCGUUGCCCGAGUUGAAAAAGCGAACGGCAGCCAUAGAGCGUUGAUGAAUGAACGAUUUAUCAAUCCAUCCGAGCUGAAACAAGAGGCAUUCACUUGAAAGUGACUGCUAAAGCUGCUGCAA
Molecule: small RNA, 469 nt
Filed under: Drosophila mojavensis
Lineage: Eukaryota; Metazoa; Arthropoda; Insecta; Diptera; Drosophilidae
Description: GI25535
Source: RNAcentral